GUGCUUGCUUCGGCGGCACACAUACUACAGUUGGAACAAUACAGAGAUUAGCAUGGCCCUGUGCAAGGAUGACAUGCAAAUUCGUGAAGCAUUCCAUAUAUAU
RNAcentral lists this small nuclear RNA (103 nucleotides) under Piliocolobus tephrosceles (Ugandan red Colobus). Lineage: Eukaryota; Metazoa; Chordata; Mammalia; Primates; Cercopithecidae. The record is from RNAcentral.